RNAcentral lists this transfer RNA (60 nucleotides) under Dipodomys ordii (Ord's kangaroo rat). It matches the Rfam family "tRNA", at positions 7 to 64 of the family's 71-position model. Rfam says of the family: Transfer RNA (tRNA) molecules are approximately 80 nucleotides in length. Their secondary structure includes four short double-helical elements and three loops (D, anti-codon, and T loops). Further hydrogen bonds mediate the characteristic L-shaped molecular structure. tRNAs have two regions of fundamental functional importance: the anti-codon, which is responsible for specific mRNA codon recognition, and the 3' end, to which the tRNAs corresponding amino acid is attached (by aminoacyl-tRNA synthetases). tRNAs cope with the degeneracy of the genetic code in two manners: having more than one tRNA (with a specific anti-codon) for a particular amino acid; and 'wobble' base-pairing, i.e. permitting non-standard base-pairing at the 3rd anti-codon position. The record is from Rfam by way of RNAcentral. Lineage: Eukaryota; Metazoa; Chordata; Mammalia; Rodentia; Heteromyidae.
GUGGCUCAGUGGUAGAGCGCUUGCCUUGCAAUCAUGAGGCCCUGGGUUCAAUUCCUCAGC